ACGAGUGGCGGACGGGUGAGUAACACGUAGGUAACCUGCCCAGAAGCGGGGGACAACACUUGGAAACAGGUGCUAAUACCGCAUAACAAUUCAAAUCGCAUGAUUUGAAUUUGAAAGAUGGUUUCGGCUAUCACUUCUGGAUGGACCUGCGGCGCAUUAGCUUGUUGGUGGGGUAACGGCCUACCAAGGCAGUGAUGCGUAGCCGAGUUGAGAGACUGAUCGGCCACAAUGGGACUGAGACACGGCCCAUACUCCUACGGGAGGCAGCAGUAGGGAAUCUUCCACAAUGGGCGCAAGCCUGAUGGAGCAACACCGCGUGAGUGAAGAAGGUUUUCGGAUCGUAAAGCUCUGUUGUUGAAGAAGAACGUGCAUGAGAGUAACUGUUCAUGCAGUGACGGUAUUCAACCAGAAAGUCACGGCUAACUACGUGCCAGCAGCCGCGGUAAUACGUAGGUGGCAAGCGUUAUCCGGAUUUAUUGGGCGUAAAGAGAGUGCAGGCGGUUUCUUAAGUCUGAUGUGAAAGCCUUCGGCUCAACCGAAGAAGUGCAUCGGAAACUGGGAAACUUGAGUACAGAAGAGGGCAGUGGAACUCCAUGUGUAGCGGUGGAAUGCGUAGAUAUAUGGAAGAACACCAGUGGCGAAGGCGGCUGCCUGGUCUGUAACUGACGCUGAGACUCGAAAGCAUGGGUAGCGAACAGGAUUAGAUACCCUGGUAGUCCAUGCCGUAAACGAUGAGUGCUAGGUGUUGGAGGGUUUCCGCCCUUCAGUGCCGGAGCUAACGCAUUAAGCACUCCGCCUGGGGAGUACGACCGCAAGGUUGAAACUCAAAGGAAUUGACGGGGGCCCGCACAAGCGGUGGAGCAUGUGGUUUAAUUCGAAGCUACGCGAAGAACCUUACCAGGUCUUGACAUCUUGCGCCAACCCUAGAGAUAGGGCGUUUCCUUCGGGAACGCAAUGACAGGUGGUGCAUGGUCGUCGUCAGCUCGUGUCGUGAGAUGUUGGGUUAAGUCCCGCAACGAGCGCAACCCUUGUUACUAGUUGCCAGCAUUAAGUUGGGCACUCUAGUGAGACUGCCGGUGACAAGCCGGAGGAAGGUGGGGACGACGUCAGAUCAUCAUGCCCCUUAUGACCUGGGCUACACACGUGCUACAAUGGACGGUACAACGAGCAGCGAACUCGCGAGGGCAAGCAAAUCUCUUAAAACCGUUCUCAGUUCGGAUUGCAGGCUGCAACUCGCCUGCAUGAAGUCGGAAUCGCUAGUAAUCGCGGAUCAGCAUGCCGCGGUGAAUACGUUCCCGGGCCUUGUACACACCGCCCGUCACACCAUGAGAGUUUGUAACACCCAAAGUCGGUGGGGUAACCUUUGGAG
RNAcentral lists this ribosomal RNA (1369 nucleotides) under uncultured methanogenic archaeon. RNAcentral describes it as "16S ribosomal RNA". It matches the Rfam family "Bacterial small subunit ribosomal RNA", at positions 91 to 1448 of the family's 1533-position model. The record is from RNAcentral. Lineage: Archaea; Methanobacteriati; Methanobacteriota.